RNAcentral lists this ribosomal RNA (465 nucleotides) under uncultured bacterium. RNAcentral's name for it is "partial 16S ribosomal RNA". It matches the Rfam family "Bacterial small subunit ribosomal RNA", at positions 28 to 507 of the family's 1533-position model. The record is from RNAcentral.
GAUGAACGCUGGCGGCGUGCUUAACACAUGCAAGUCGAACGGAAAGGCUCCUGCUUGCAGAGGUACUCGAGUGGCGAACGGGUGAGUAACACGUGGGUGAUCUGCCCUGCACUUCGGGAUAAGCCUGGGAAACUGGGUCUAAUACCGGAUAGGACGAUGGUUUGGAUGCCAUUGUGGAAAGUUUUUCGGUGUGGGAUGAGCUCGCGGCCUAUCAGCUUGUUGGUGGGGUAAUGGCCUACCAAGGCGUCGACGGGUAGCCGGCCUGAGAGGGUGUACGGCCACAUUGGGACUGAGAUACGGCCCAGACUCCUACGGGAGGCAGCAGUGGGGAAUAUUGCACAAUGGGCGCAAGCCUGAUGCAGCGACGCCGCGUGGGGGAUGACGGCCUUCGGGUUGUAAACUCCUUUCGCUAGGGACGAAGCGCAAGUGGCGGUACCUGGAGAAGAAGCACCGGCUAACUACGUG